UACGUAUGGUGCAAGCGUUAUCCGGAUUUACUGGGUGUAAAGGGAGCGUAGGCGGCGCGUUAAGUCUGAUGUGAAAACCCGAGGCUCAACCACGGGAGUGCAUUGGAAACUGGCGAGCUGGAGUGCCGGAGAGGUAAGCGGGAUUCCUAGUGUAGCGGUGAAAUGCGUAGAUAUUAGGAGGAACACCAGUGGCGAAGGCGGCUUACUGGACGGCAACUGACGCUGAGGCUCGAAAGCGUGGGGAGCAAACAGG
RNAcentral lists this ribosomal RNA (253 nucleotides) under uncultured bacterium. Its description in RNAcentral is "partial 16S ribosomal RNA". It matches the Rfam family "Bacterial small subunit ribosomal RNA", at positions 524 to 776 of the family's 1533-position model. The record is from RNAcentral.